Molecule: ribosomal RNA, 424 nt
Filed under: uncultured bacterium
Lineage: Bacteria
Description: bacterial SSU rRNA
Rfam family: Bacterial small subunit ribosomal RNA
Source: RNAcentral
GGGGAAUUUUGGACAAUGGGCGAAAGCCUGAUCCAGCAACGCCGUGUGUGUGAAGAAGGCCUUCGGGUUGUAAAGCACUUUUAGUUGGGAAGCAAAGCUCAAGACUAAUACCCUUGAGUGAUGACGUUACCAACAGAAAAAGCACUGGCUAACUCUGUGCCAGCAGCCGCGGUAAUACAGAGAGUGCGAGCGUUAAUCGGAAUUACUGGGCGUAAAGCGCACGUAGGUGGAAUUUUAAGUCGGAUGUGAAAUCCCCGGGCUUAACCUGGGAAUUGCAUUCGAUACUGUGAUUCUAGAGUAUGGUAGAGGGAAGUGGAAUUUCCGGUGUAGCGGUGAAAUGCGUAGAUAUCGGAAGGAACAUCAGUGGCGAAAGCGGCUUCCUGGACCAAUACUGACACUUAGGUGCGAAAGCGUGGGGAGCAAA